This is a long non-coding RNA of Humulus lupulus (European hop), 563 nucleotides long. RefSeq lists it as uncharacterized. NCBI's taxonomy places the organism in Eukaryota, Viridiplantae, Streptophyta, Magnoliopsida, Rosales, Cannabaceae. The record is from RefSeq and is a predicted model, not a curated record. The transcript has 3 exons.
CUUAAUGUUUUAUACUUAUUUUUGCUUCUAUUUUUAUGGGUAUGUUUUAUUUAGGGUUUUAGCUCACAUUUCUUGAGGAAAAAAAGGGAUAAUAGUUUAGUGUUGGUUUGGGUCUUGAUUCUUAUUUUCUUCUCUGAGAUGAUGGAUAUGAUGUUUACAAGUCAACAAAAGGAGAAAGGGGAGGUUUGGCAGGAUUGCAGAAUCUGGGAAAUACUUGCUUUAUGAACAGUGCCCUGCAAUGUUUAGUUCACACGCCUCCUCUUGUUGAGUAUUUCUUGCAAGAUUACAAAGAUGAGAUCAAUACUGAAAAUCCUUUGGGAAUUCAUGGUGAGCUUGCAAUCGCCUUUGGUGAGCUGUUGAGGAAAUUAUGGUCCUCAGAGUGAACUACAAUUGCACCACGUGUUUUCAAGGGAAAAUUAGCUCGAUUUGCUCCCCAGUUCAGUGGCUAUAACCAGCAUGAUUCUCAAGAACUUCUUGCAUUCUUGUUGGAUGGACUGCAUGAGGAUUUAAAUCGUGUUAAAGAAAAACCUUACAUAGAAGUAAAGGAUUCAGAUGGUCGCCUA